Molecule: ribosomal RNA, 452 nt
Filed under: Breviturma doederleini
Lineage: Eukaryota; Metazoa; Echinodermata; Ophiuroidea; Amphilepidida; Ophiocomidae
Description: Ophiocoma doederleini partial 16S ribosomal RNA
Rfam family: Bacterial large subunit ribosomal RNA
Source: RNAcentral
GUUAAACGGCUGCAGUACUCUGACUGUGCAAAGGUAGCAUAAUCAUUUGCCUGGUAAUUUCAGGCUGGCAUCAAUGGCUAGACGAUAGGGGUGCUGUCUCUUUUUACUUUUGUUGAAAUUAAUAUUUAGGUGAGAAGCCUAAAUGAGUUAGUGGGACGAGAAGACCCUAUAGAGCUUUAGCUUAGUGUCUUUGAAUUUGUGGACAUAGAGUUUUAGUUGGGGCAACUGUUUAUAAAAUUAAACAUAGAUUUUCAGUAAAAAAAGAGUUCGAGUAUUGACCUACAAUGUGUUGUAGUAGGUUGAAAAAGUUACCUUAGGGAUAACAGCGUAAUUUCUUUUGAGAGUACUUAUUGACAAAGAAGUUUGCGACCUCGAUGUUGGAUCAGGUUAUCCUGGAUGUGCAGCAGCCUCCAAGGGUUGGUUUGUUCAACCAUAAAAAACUUACGUGAUCU